Molecule: long non-coding RNA, 4846 nt
Organism: Haemorhous mexicanus (house finch)
Lineage: Eukaryota; Metazoa; Chordata; Aves; Passeriformes; Fringillidae
Exons: 2
Source: RefSeq, a predicted model, not a curated record
UUUGCCCUAAACCAGGACAAGUGGAAACCCUGAUCUAAAUGAAUCACUCUAAUAAUCCUAAAUCAUGGAAUUAAUUAUUCUAAAAUAAUCUUUGUAACAUAAUGUGUUGUUGCUCGUGACACAGGGUAGGCCUCUACCCAAUGAGUUAAUUGGUCUACUAUUACUAACAAAUACUUAUAUCUUCUCACUUUCAGUAGUUCAGUAAAAUCCACUUGUAUCUUUUCAAAAGGCCUAUAUGCAGUUUUUCUCCCUCCCUGCAGGGUCUGUCUAGAUGUCUUCUUGUUAAUUUUCUGAUAAAUAAUUCAUCCUUGUGUCUCCUGUUUUCCUACAUAAAAUAUUCCUAUACACCAAAAAACCUUUAAAAAGUGGUUUAGUGUUCGUGUUCUCCAGUGAGUUUGUUGAUGUAACUGUUGAAUUAUUCUUCUAGGGUAACUUUUAGAUAGCAUUUCUCUACUAUCUGGUAAAAGCUACUUAUUCCCUUCUAUCUUAGCCCCUAGUUUCUCCAUCUCUUGUAUUUCCUUUGAGGUAUAGCAUUUUUGAUACUUUAUCUCAUCCUCACUUUUACUUAAAUUAUUUAAAGACGUGUAAGCAUACUGCUGCCCUUUGUGCUUCUGCAUCAGCCAAAUUAUUCCCAUGAGUCUGAUAAUCCGUUCCUCUCUGAUGUCCUCUUACAUGGACAACAGCUAUCGCUGAUGGACCACUCAAAGUUUCUAAUACUCUUACAAUCAAUUAAUGAUGAACAAGUCUUCUUCCUUGGGUAUUUACAAGUCUCUUUUCUAAGUUUCCCUCACAGCUGCUACAAAUAUCUUGGCUUUUGCCUUUUGUUUUUCUUCAUCUCUCUUCAUGUAUACCUUUUUGGCUUCCCGCAAUAGCUCUUGGAGACCCUGGUCCUGUCAAUCUUCUAAUUUCUCUAGCUUUUUCCAUAUGUCUCCUUAUGAUUUUGCUACAAAUUGAGUUUUAAGCAAUGCUGCUCCUACUGGGGAAUUUGGGUCCACUCCUGAUUACAUUUGCAGGCUCUUUCUGAGCCUCUCAAGCUAAUCUGUAGGUGAUUCAUCUUAUUUUUGGUGCACACUGAAGGCCUUGAUAAUAUUUGCCCUCUAGGUAUGGCAUUCCGUAUCCCUUGUACAAUGAUAUUUCUAAGGUCCCUCCUAUUUUGACUGUCUUGCUCAAUCUGGUGAUUCUAAUCUGGUCUCUGAUUAGUCCAUUUUUGAUCACCACCUAGACCCUGCUGGUGUCUCCUUUCUCAGUCUUGUCGGGUCGGCUGUCUGUCUCUGCCCAGACACGCGUAGUAUGGUUCUGUUGCAGGCCGCGCUUCAAAGGACGAAUCUGGACUCUUUAGUUUUUUGGUCUUCGGAUUUGUUUAUUAUUUCUUAUCUACAGAGUUUUCUCUCUGCCCAGCCGGGAUCUGACCAGCAAGGCAGCCAAAGGCACUCUGACCGCCCAUGGGGCGGCCAUGUCUCUUUAUAGUAAAAACUAUGUAUAACAUAUUUGCCUUUUAUUCCCAAUACCUUUCACCCUUGUUAGCAAGUGCACCUUCACCAUGAACCAAUCCACAAGUGCCAACAUCACCACAGAAGAUGGAUGACAAGAAGAAGAAAGAAGAACCACGAAGCAGGCCCUGAUCCCUCCAUCUUGUCUCCAUAACCCCCCUGUACCAAAACCCUAAAAUCUAUAUUUCACCCUGUAAAUAUAUCAUUCCUGCACCAUUCAAACUCUAGUGACUCCCAUGUCCUUAUACACAGGUGGAACAUCCCUAGAAGGGUCAAAGUCAAGCCACCAGGUGCUUUUGGCAACAUUCCAAGACCUCCGAGCCCCCCCAAGGGUUCUCUUGGUAGCUCUGGACAUCUGGAGUGAUGUGUUGAGUUCCCACAAGUCUCUCAUUCCUAUUUGCCUAAUCAUUUAUCUUUCCUCAGUAGUAAAUAGUAUUCCUAAUAUAACUUGAAGCUCAUCCCAGGUGUAGGUAUUUGGGCCUAAAAAUUGGUCUAACCUCUCAGAAACCCCUAAAGGGUCCUCAAGCAGCCGCCUUGUUUCCUUUUUAAAUUCUCUUACAUCCCCAUUAUUAAGUGGGACUGUUACAAACCCUAUUCCCCUAUAAUUUCCUUCCAUAGGUACUUCUCUCAGGGGGAAUAGUCUCUUCUUUUGAUCUUCCUCCUCCCCACUAGAAUUAUUUUCCGUGCGUUGUUCUCUCUUGUUGCUCCAAGUCUUACUAGAUGGUGGUGACAGUAGUGGAGCCAUCGGGCUCUGAAGCCUCUCAGGGGAGGAGUGAGUUUCCUGCCUUUGAUAGGGAGGGGGAAAAUUGUCUAAUGGUUCCUAAGGUUUUUCUUUUUCCUCCACCUUUCUCUAUUUUUUUAGUUUUCAGGGGGUAUAAUGCUAUCUUUACAGAGGACCCCCUCUAAAGUGCUGCAUAAUCACUUUCCUCCUGAUCAAAGGGUUCCUUAGUAUUUACAUAAAUAUUUAAAGCUUGACACAUCUAAUCAUCAAAGGAUCCAAACAUUAGCUAAUAUAAAUGAUCAGGCCUAAUUUUUUCUUUAGUCUACUCUACUAUACAAUAAUGUACCAUCUUUUCUUUACUUUUUCUCUUCCUAGAGGGUAUUGCAUCCCAAUGUGCAAUCAUUAACCCCAGGGAGCUGUCCAGGGGUAUCUCUGCUAAUUCACUCUGUUUCUCAUUUUUAGAGCCUCUCUGGGGGCUCCUUAACCUUGAGCCUCUCUUGGGGCCCUUUGAGCCUCUCUGGGGGCUCGUGGAACCUCUCUGGGGGUUCCUUGAGCCAGAGGUCUUACUAUUCCCCUGACCCAUCAUGACCAGUGUCACACCACUCGCUUAAUCUUUUCAUUGGCCAAGCCCCUCGCAGGGUGAUGGAACUGCAGAUAGAAGAACUCUUCAAUUGCUUCGCAAUAAUAUUGCAUCUUACUCACUUUCACUCAGACACUGUGAUGUCCACCCAACCCAACGAUACUCACAGCCCGCUGUUCUUGUCCGGAUCUUCGUGUACUAGAAUUACAGGUGAUUUAAACUGCAGUUCUCAGGGAGCUCAAUUCUUUGCUUGCUUUCUUUACCGAGUUCAUGGUGCCAUUAGUUCCUGGGCUAUUGGCCUCUACGGGCCACAAAAGUGGGGUGCCCCCUGCAGCAGCCUCAGUCUGAGAAAUUCAAGGGCAUCAUGUAGGGUCACCAAAUUGAUAUAAAAUUUCGAUAGCUGUACCGAAUUUUAUUUCUAUAUCUUUUAUUUUAAAGAAAGUAAGCAAGCAGCGCUGGGUGGCUGGGGAGUCACUGCUCUGCUAACGGCACACACCACUUACAAGUUUGGUAAAGUAUAUAUACUGUUUUUAAGCUCACAAAGCAUUUUUCUAUGUGCUUGGUUAGUCCAAAUCAGCAAAUAUCAAUAAGCUGGGAUCAGCAAUUUCACAAUCUUUCCAGGUGGUCGUUGGCUUCCUGUCCUUCUUGUAGUCGUCUGGAGGGAGGCUUUACACUGGUGUCUGCUACAUGAUUUUGUUAAGCGCAUCAAGCUUUUUAUUAUAUAUAAGCAUUUAGUCAUUUUGUUGCAAUAUCUCAGCUUUACCACAACUUCCUCUAUUUUAUUCUAAGCAUCAGUUGUCUUGCUACCUCAUUUCUUUUACUCUGUUAUACUUUUUCUAUUUCAAUGCUUUAUUUGGCUAUUUGGUCAGAAAGUUUCAAAACUGUUCUUUGUAGUUAUCCCAGAGAAUGCAUCUACUUUUGACACAGCAGAUAUAAGUAUUUGCUGAUUCCAUUGCCAAUUGACAUGAAUCACAAAAACAUUUUUCACAGUGAGCAGUCGUUUCUCACAAUUUGAAUCCUCGUAAACCAGGAUAAGAACCUCCUCUCCAUGCCCGUAGGAGAUUUCAAAAGAGAGGUGCACCCUGCCAAUUUCGGCAGCUCAUUCGAGUUCUCCUGUGACCACCGGUGAGUGCAGGUUUCCCCCCUGGGGACAGCAGAGGACUAAAUAACGAAAAAGAAAAGGGGGAAGAAAAAACAGACAAAAAACGUGAGUAUUUGCAUGCGUGUGAGAGUCCGAGAGUGUGCUUGGAGUGGGUGUAAGAGUUGCUGGACUUGGGGGGCUCAAGAACAUAUCGGGGUGCCAGGUCGAGAGCCACUGGAUUUGGGGCGGGGAGGGGUUGACCGCGCUGGUAUGGACGGCAGCGUCUCGGAGGCCGCUGCAGGAGGCCACGUGGGUGCUAGCUGCGGCAGCGCCGAGGUCCCGGCGCGGCUCAAGCUCGGCAGAGCUGGGCUGUGGGAGCCCACGUGGGGGAGGUUUUUCGGCGUCUCGGCGCAGCUCGGUUUUGGUGUGAGCCCAGGCGCGGCAGGACCGGGAGCGGCGGCGGCGCCGAGGUCAUGUACCACCCUAGCCUGUUGCCAGGAGGAUGACACCCCCCCCCUCGGACGGUGGGGAGAGGGGGAUAUUUGCAUCUCAGGAGACAUGCAAAUUUAUCUCAAAACCCAGACUGCACUGGGACGGGACCUUCACCAAAUCCUGGAAAAUACCCCAAAAGAGACGAGCCAAAGCAGAAUUGAGAGGUCAGGGUGGUGUCUGGACAGCAGGGCCGAGGUCCGAAGCCGGCAGAGAUGCUUGAGAGCCUCGGUCACUCCUUGCCCCAAUUAAAAACGAUGCCAGUCGGACCCAGGACCCCCUGGACUGCCCACAUCGAAUGAAACCCUGGGUAUACCCCCACUGCCCUUGCAAGGACAGGACUCCAGGCUCUGGCCCCUAGGGGACUGAGCUGCAAAUCAUUCUCUUCAGAGUCGCUGCUGGAAGCGGCGGCAGAACUCCGCGGAUCUGCCAAAAACCCCCAUUUGGAGCUGAUCACUUCAAUAAAGGCAUUAGAAUGAGGAAAA